UACAGAGGGGGCAAGCGUUGUUCGGAAUUACUGGGCGUAAAGGGCGCGUAGGCGGCCGCCUAAGUCAGACGUGAAAUCCCUCGGCUCAACCGGGGAACUGCGUCUGAUACUGGGUGGCUUGAAUCCGGGAGAGGGAUGCGGAAUUCCAGGUGUAGCGGUGAAAUGCGUAGAUAUCUGGGGGAACACCGGUGGCGAAGGCGGCAUCCUGGACCGGCAUUGACGCUGAGGCGCGAAAGCCAGGGGAGCAAACGGG
This 253-nucleotide ribosomal RNA is filed under the name uncultured bacterium. RNAcentral's name for it is "partial 16S ribosomal RNA". It matches the Rfam family "Bacterial small subunit ribosomal RNA", at positions 524 to 776 of the family's 1533-position model. The record is from RNAcentral.